CCACCACCGCCCGUCACGCCAUGGAAGUUGGGUGCGCCCGAUAUCCGUGUCCUAACCCGCAAGGGAGGGAGCGGCCUAAGGCGAGCUCGAUGACUGGGGCG
This 101-nucleotide ribosomal RNA is filed under the name uncultured bacterium. RNAcentral describes it as "partial 16S ribosomal RNA". It matches the Rfam family "Bacterial small subunit ribosomal RNA", at positions 1388 to 1482 of the family's 1533-position model. The record is from RNAcentral.